Molecule: ribosomal RNA, 451 nt
Filed under: uncultured bacterium
Lineage: Bacteria
Description: SSU rRNA
Rfam family: Bacterial small subunit ribosomal RNA
Source: RNAcentral
AGAGCGAACGCUGGCGGCAUGCUUAACACAUGCAAGUCUCACGGGCAGCAAUGUCAGUGGCGGACGGGUGAGUAACGCGUAGGUAUCUAUCCAUGGGUGGGGGAUAACGUCGGGAAACUGACGCUAAUACCGCAUGACAUCUAAGGAUCAAAGGCGCGAGUCGCCUGUGGAGGAGCCUGCGUACGAUUAGCUAGUUGGUGGGGUAAAGGCCUACCAAGGCGACGAUCGUUAGCUGGUCUGAGAGGAUGAUCAGCCACACUGGGACUGAGACACGGCCCAGACUCCUACGGGAGGCAGCAGUGGGGAAUAUUGGACAAUGGGCGAAAGCCUGAUCCAGCAAUGCCGCGUGUGUGAAGAAGGUCUUCGGAUUGUAAAGCACUUUCGGUGGGGACGAUGAUGACGGUACCCGCAGAAGAAGCCCCGGCUAACUUCGCGCCAGCAGCCGCGGUAA